This 252-nucleotide ribosomal RNA is filed under the name uncultured bacterium. RNAcentral's name for it is "partial 16S ribosomal RNA". It matches the Rfam family "Bacterial small subunit ribosomal RNA", at positions 525 to 776 of the family's 1533-position model. The record is from RNAcentral.
ACAGAGGGUGCAAGCGUUAAUCGGAAUUACUGGGCGUAAAGCGUGCGUAGGUGGCCAUCUAAGUCAGGUGUGAAAUUUCGGAGCUUAACUUCGAACUUGCGCUUGAAACUGGGUGGCUAGAGUCCUGUAGAGGGCAGUGGAAUUUCCGGAGUAGCGGUGAAAUGCGUAGAUAUCGGAAGGAACACCAGUGGCGAAGGCGACUGCCUGGCCAGAGACUGACACUGAGGCACGAAAGCGUGGGUAGCAAACAGG